This 253-nucleotide ribosomal RNA is filed under the name uncultured bacterium. RNAcentral's name for it is "partial 16S ribosomal RNA". It matches the Rfam family "Bacterial small subunit ribosomal RNA", at positions 524 to 776 of the family's 1533-position model. The record is from RNAcentral.
UACGUAGGGUGCAAGCGUUGUCCGGAAUUAUUGGGCGUAAAGAGCUCGUAGGCGGUUUGUUGCGUCGGCUGUGAAAUCCCGAGGCUCAACCUCGGGUCUGCAGUCGAUACGAGCAAACUAGAGUGUUGCAGGGGAGACUGGAAUUCCUGGUGUAGCGGUGAAAUGCGCAGAUAUCAGGAGGAACACCGGUGGCGAAGGCGGGUCUCUGGGCAACAACUGACGCUGAUGCGCGAAAGCGUGGGGAGCAAACAGG